GACGAAGAGGAGUCCCCGCGCCCCAGGAUGGAGCUUCCCGUACCCUCUCUUCGGGCUGUCCUGGGACUUCUCCCUCAAGCCCCCUCCUCGGCUGGGUUCUGCACUGCCCUUGGGACGCCUUGGAAUUGGGACUUCCAGGUGUUCCCAGCCCUCACCCCUCUAUGUACAGGCACCGAGAUGUGUCCCAUAGUGGGUUCUUGCCCACCCGACCCCCCAC
Molecule: long non-coding RNA, 217 nt
Filed under: Homo sapiens (human)
Lineage: Eukaryota; Metazoa; Chordata; Mammalia; Primates; Hominidae
Description: HSALNT0382332
Source: RNAcentral